Molecule: long non-coding RNA, 4209 nt
Filed under: Panax ginseng (ginseng)
Lineage: Eukaryota; Viridiplantae; Streptophyta; Magnoliopsida; Apiales; Araliaceae
Description: long non-coding RNA (PGIN_LNC017466)
Source: RNAcentral
GCAAGCUGACGUUCUGUUUUGACAAAAGGUAAGCAAAUAAGAUCACUAGUUAACUUUUCUUUGAUAAAGUGUCAAUCUCAAUGUGCUUCGUUCUAUCGUGUUGAAUUGUGUCAUUUGCAAUACUAAUGGAUGCCUUAUUAUCAUAAAAUAAUUGCAUAUGCCUUUUAGUUGUAAUACCCAAAUCUUCUAGCAAGGUUCGAAGCUACAUUAGUUCACAUAUACCCAAGGCGAUAGCUCGAUAUUCAACCUCAACACUAAAUCUUGCUACCACAUACUGUUUCUUACUACGCCAAGUAACAAGGUUACCUCUAACAAAUGAACAGUAACCUGAUGUAGAACGACGAUCUUCUAUAGAGCCAGCCCAAUUUGAGUAAGAAAAAACUUCAACUUUCAUAUGACCAUGUGGCGCGUGGUACUGUCUUUUCCGACGGAGCUUGGUCUGGACUGUUCGCCUCUCUCUUCUCUUCUCAUAUAUAGUAGUUGUGCCUUGUUUGAUUCAGUCAUCUUGAUCUGGUUUCUUCGAAAACUUGCCCAGUGUUUGUUUUCCCUGGACUCUGUUUUUUGAUCCAUAGCACUGUCUUGAGGGAGUUGUUACUGCUUUGUUUUUCCGCCACUAAUUAUGAGGCUGAUCUGAAUUGAUCACAGGAUUCAAUUGAUUUUGCAGAUGGCUACCAUAUAUAUAUAUAUAUACAUAUAUAUAUAUUUGGUGCAACAACUUUCAGAUAAAUCUCAUAGUACUAUAUACGACUAUAUAGAUAUAGAGAGAUAAUUGACCUUGGAGCCGAGAGGAAACUCUCCUGUAAUUGACCUUGGAGCCGAGAGGAAACUCACUAGACUAGUAUAUAUAGAUAUAUGCCACUCUCUAAAACAAUACAUAAAGUUAUAAUCUAGUUCAAGCACACAAGAAGCUAAUUGAUAAGUAAGUGAUGAAAACCCCACUGAUUUCAGAAAAGGAAUUAGUAUCAACUAGCAUAUCAUAUCAAAAGAAGAGACAAGAGGGACACAUUACAAGGAAAACAGAACUUGUUAAGCAGAAAACAUAAAGAUUAUUAGUAAUAUUAAUUAUAGAUAAAGUUUGUUGUCACUAUCUAUGUCACUUUCAACUAUCUAACCCCACCUCCACUUCCACUUAAUUCAUCAAAAUAGCGACUCAUUGCAAACAAGAAAAUGCAGCUCACCCAGAGUUGAAGAUGAUUUCCAAGCUUUAGUACAAGUAUACAUCCAUGUACUGUGGACGACAAACACCAGAACAUGUCAAUAACUAAGUUGUAGUGAGCUUAGUGAUAACUUAAGUUGUGUGUCUGGUUUGUGGGCAUACUAAAUAAAAAGGAAAGGAAAAAAAGUAAUAGUCAAAAUUGUGCUUUGAUUAGAUGUCUAGGCUAUGUACAAAAGACCACAGAUCUUAGAAAAGAAUUAUAAGGAGUCCACAUGAAGCAUACUCUGAAACUAUUGUAUUCCUCCUUCACUUUCAAUUGAACAUCCUUUUGAGUAGCACGAACAUUAAUUGGACCAAUAAACAUUCUCAAAAAGGUUCCAUUCCUGUUCCAAAAGCAGAAACAUUUUUAAGCUCCUCUAAAUACUUGGCCAGUAGCUCAUUAACUAUACCUAUACGGAUCCCAAAAAAAAAUAGUGAUACUUUUAUCUGUGGUUCAUUGUUGUUGAACUUCAAAUACUUCCCAAGGAGUAUUCUUUUUUCAGGUGCAAAGGGAAGUUAAUCGAUGAAAUAUCUUAUAUGACAUGAAUAUCAUAAACAACGUGGUAUUGACACAAAGCACCCAUAAUAUUAAAACACUUGCACAAAUUCAAAUAGAAUAUGCUACUAAUACCUUUACACGUUGUUCUAACCACAAAAGGUUGUCUUUUUCACAAAAGCAGAAAAAAUCGUUACAUUCUUAAGUAUCGCAGAAAUCACAAAAGAAGUAUAUCUCAACAACAUUUUGAAAUUAUAUGUAUGAUGAUUAAACUAAUUAACAAUACAAUCAUUCCAAUUGCAACCCAAAUUGGCUCUAAAUAACACGAACUAGCAGAAGAAUUAAAAUAGAAGAAUUAAAGCCUUUUGACUUUUAUUCCCCUAUUGUAUAUGAAUCCCAUUUCCAGAGUAGAAGUUAUUAAGGUUUCCUAAGCUAUCUCUAACAUGCUUUCCUAAGGUUUUUUUUUCCAAUCCAACUUAUAAUGUUCUACAUUUACAAGUACCCAUGGCACCCUUUAGUUCACCUGCUAUCUGAAACACCUAUUUUCCUCCCUUCUUUCCAGAAUUAUAGAGCAAGGGAAAACAAAACUACGUUAUAGUACAUUAACAUACUUGAUGGCAUAAAUAUCUACAUAUAAAAUAGGUACUUGCUUGUAAUUAAUUAUUGGGGGUUGGUAGAUUAUCUUCUUUCAAAGGAUUUUUAAAUCUCUAGGUACUUGUUUUCAUAGGGUUUUUAAUCUCUAUACGAUAAUUAGUUUUCUUUGAUGAAUCCAAAUUGAAAAGAUUAUCAAACAAUUAUCUUAUGUAAGUUGGGGAGAAAAAAGUUUUGUGGUUAGCAUCAUUUGGAGCCGAACAAAUUUAUGAAACAAAAAUAGAUAUUUAAAAUAUACUUGAACAAUUUCUAGUACUCAUUUUAAACCUGAAGAUAUCUCUUGAGAGCAGUGCAAAUUGUGAUAAAAAUUCUGAAAACUUGUUUAAUAAAGACUGGAACUUUAAGCCACAGAACUGGCUGAUGAAAAUGAGCAAGAACUUGAACAGAACAACUUCAACAUGAAUAGAAUUUCUUCUUCGCUUAUUUCCUACAUGGCCAAACAAACCAAAUCCCAUUUGAGAAUUAAUUAAUUGUUAGAUUGAAAAUGAAGAGUGGGACAGAGAAAGAGAAAGGGUACUGAGAUUUACUUUGUUUUUUUCUUUUUAUCUGUUUUUGUUUCAUCUUUAAACUGCAUAUAUUGUUCAAGCAACUCCAUAGUUGUAAUCUGUUUUUGCUCUUCCUUUAAGAGGUUCAUUGCUUCAUUCUCUCGCUUUUCGUUUGUGCUCGAGUCUAUUUCAGUCUAUGGUUUUAGCUUUUGUGUUGCAGUCUAUUUAUAGUUUGUAGCAUGGUUUAUAGUCUACGGUGUCACUAUGAUGCUUUCAAUGGUUUCAGUUUGUCUAUGUUGUGCUACUGAACAUAGUUUCGCUGGUUUCAGUUUGUCUAUGGUUGUGAUUGUUGUGCGGCUGUGAUGCUUUUUAUUGUUGUGCUGCUGAACAUGGUUUUUUUCAGUUUGUCUAUGGUGGUUGUGCUGAACAUUGUCUAUGGUUGUUGGACAUAAUAUCACUUAUAUUUGGUGUCAUUAUGUACUGUAAAUUUCAUGUAAUGGACUUUUAUAAUUGUAACUGUAUGUUAGACUAUAUUAUAAAAUCCUUAAAGCUGAAGUUGUUUGUGUUAAUGUGGCAAAAUAUACUAGUGAAUGUAUAUUUGGCAAACUUUCGUAAUACAUUGUUUUAUUAACUCGGGUGAAUAGUUUCAAAAUGAUUCCAUUUUUGUAUUUACGUAAAAGUGAAUGUCAUUCUAAGCAUUGUAUAUUUAAGUAUGUGUGGUUUCUAUUGCUUUGUAUUGCUAUGGUUCAGUUUGUGUUGUAUUGCUAUACAGGGCAUGCAGGCUGCAGCUUUGUAUUGUUAUGGCUUGUUGGUAACAGCUACAAGGGAUACUUGGUUCAAAUUGUUUUGCAUAUUUGUGUUGUGGCACUUUGUAUUGCAACAGGUUUCAGUUGUUCAGUUUAUAUCUUGAUAUGGUUUCAUUUGUUCAGUUUGAACACAAUUGGCUUUCAUAUUAUCCACAUGUUUAGAUCGGGCCUUGUUGGCUUUACUCUUCAUGGAUCACUUUCUCAUUAUUACUAUCAGUUUUGUGAGGUAACCAUCACUGUUGGUUUGUCUGUCUUGUCAAAAUUUUCACAAGUAUAUAUAUUUCUAAAAUAACACCACCUAAUUUUCAGCCCCUUUUUCCUUUUCAAGACUUGUGGGUGGUUCCGGCCGAAGUAGCCUUUGAUCAAACUGUGUGGGCUGCUGCUUGGAACAGCAUUUACUACAGUCAGCCUCUUUGGUGAACUGAAGGCAUCAUUCUGGCCCAUGUUGAAGAAGGCCUUCUGCUCUCUGUCUCUCUCUCCUGGGUGGUUGUUUUUUCUCUUGAAAUGUUGAAGCAGAACUUUGGAGAAGAUGAAUUAUAUAAGGAACUUUAGUUUUGUGCAACAGGGGUGGUGGAG